UUUUUCCACGAGGGGAGCCUUUAUGGCUGAGAGUGAACUUGAUGUUCUGACCCUUUGAACCUGUUAGUUAGUACUAUCGUAGGGAUGUGGCGUAUUUAUUAC
Bacillus sp. LL01 is the source of this 102-nucleotide non-coding RNA. Lineage: Bacteria; Bacillati; Bacillota; Bacilli; Caryophanales; Bacillaceae. The record is from Rfam.